CAACUGUCUCUUGGACCGUUCGGAUACAGAUGGGAAUGUAUCCCAGUCCUCUGCCAUUGACCUCAGGAAACGCUGCAGCCAGCUGGAAGGACAUUCAGGUACCCGGGUAGGCUCCUCCCUGCGACAGACCUUCAGCUUCCUCUCGGGCAUGACCGGAAAGGCCAAGACCCGGGAAAAGGAGAAGAUGAAGGAAGCCAAGGAUGCCCGCUAUACCAAUGGGCACCUCUUCACCACCAUUUCAGUUUCAGGCAUGACCAUGUGCUAUGCCUGUAACAAGAGCAUCACAGCCAAGGAAGCCCUCAUCUGCCCAA
Molecule: long non-coding RNA, 311 nt
Filed under: Homo sapiens (human)
Lineage: Eukaryota; Metazoa; Chordata; Mammalia; Primates; Hominidae
Description: non-protein coding lnc-SSR2-2:2
Source: RNAcentral